UAGAUUGCACCCCUGUCAGGUGCCCCGUGGAUGCACGCAUCCCCGGGGUGAAACGGGAAGUUGGUGAGGUCCGGACAUCCGUCCGGAGCGAUUCCAACGCUGCCCCCGCAACGGUAAUCGAGUUGCGUUGAAUCACGCGGCGCGCCAGCGCACGCAAGCCACUGUGUCCGGACUUUGGGCGCGGGAAGGCGAUUCAACGCGAGGACUCGUGAGCCCGGAGACCGGCCUGGCACUGUGGCAACGU
This 244-nucleotide non-coding RNA is filed under the name Candidatus Muproteobacteria. The record is from RNAcentral. Lineage: Bacteria; Pseudomonadati; Pseudomonadota.